AAAAUAGCUAUUUUUAUUAUCUUUAACUAUAGUAAAAUUUUAUCUCCGAUUUAAUUUGAGAUGACUUAACGGCAAUAAUAUUUUUAAAUAAUAGAAAAAUAUAUGCAGAAUAUAUUUGAAAUAAAAAUUAGACUAAAAUACUAUUAAUAGCACUAAGCUAUUGGUACUAUUAGUUUUUUAAUCCUUUGAUUGAGAAAUGUGCGGUUAAGAUGAUAUGGGCUUCCUAGGGUUGAGUGGGUGGUUGAUUGAAUAGUAUAAUCUAACGGAUAAAAAUAAUCAAAGGGUUAAAUUUAACAGUGGAAAACUCGAUAACACAAGUUUUUGGUGCUAUCGAUAGUAUCCCAGCCGGACUCCUUAAAACAAAAAAAGUAUAGAGAUAAAUAAGAUACUUCAGAAGUUUUGAGGGGUAUCCCUUUAUUACAAAUAGUCACAGACUGUUCAGACUAAUUCGAAAUUUAAGUUCAAUGCAUGAUAACUUCAUAUAUAUAUAUAUAUAUAGGGUUGAGUGUGGUUUGUUGAAUAGUAUGAUCUAACGGGUGAAAAUGAUCAAAAGGGUAGAUCCAACUGCUUCGUGCUAUUAAUAGCAUAGUAGCCAAACUCUAUAUAUAUAUAUAUAUAUAUAUAUAUAUAUAUAUAUAUAUAUAUAUAUAUAAACGAAGCGGAUAACGUACUAAUAUUUUUUCUGUGUAAAAAUAAAAAUGAAACCACUAGUGGUUUCGGUGAUUAGGUGUAAGAGAGAGAGAUAUCAGUUUUGAGAUCUCAAAAAUUUAAGGUCUAAUUUAUUUAAAGGCUCUUUGAAGGUAAAAUUUAAAUUAGUUGCUUAUUUUACUAAAUUUAUAAUUAUAUAAAAUACGUAAAAUAUACUAACUGAAUCCGUAAAGAUAAACGAUCUAUUUAAGUUUGGAAGUUAAAGAGUCACUAAUAUGACUCAAAUCAAAUAAAUUAAAACAUCAAAUAAUAAAAUUAAAAUUUUUAAAUGUUAGGCAAUCAAAUCCAUAUAGGUGAUAAUUGAAGUAAAUUUUGUAUAUUUUUAUCUUCAAUGAAUUAGAUGAAGUCUGGGCAAGCAAGUCGAAUUUAAUUUUCUAAAUUUAUUUUCAAACUUCAAAUUUUUAUGUUAACUUAGUUUAUCCCUAGAGCAAGUGGCAAAGGGCUUGGUGGUUGGUACCCGAAACCCAAGUUCGAAUCCUAAUUGAUUCACAUUUCUAGCUAAGUUUAUUUCUAAAUCAAAUAAACGAAGCAGGUAGCGUGCUACCUAUCUCUCUCAAAAAAAUAAAAAAAAUAAAAAAAAAAACUUAGUUUAAUGAACUAGACUAAGCCUGACCUAACUUAACCGAAUCUAUUAGAAACCAAACCAAAGAGAUCGAACUAGAUUUUUCACUACAACAAAAUUAGAUUAUAGGGACACAUGUUUGGGACACUUUUGUGUAAGUAUCCUAUUUAUACCAAAACUUUUAAAAAAAUCUACUAAUGCCUAAAUAUAAAGUCCAAUCCAACCAAAAAUAAAAGGUUACUCUAGCUCACCCCACCCCACCCAGCCUAUUCGGCCCGAUUACAAACAGAAAAGAAAAAGAAAAAAAAAUCGAUUACCAUUUUCCCUUCUCUCUUUACUCAAUUGACUGAAAUCCUAAACGAAGAUCCUUUCCUCUCGUCCUCCUUCGCCACCGCAACCAAUGAGGUAGAGUUUCGGCGGUUGCUAAAUGGUUAAAUAAGUAUUGGUAAAUUAGCAGCACUCUUUUUAGGUUAUAACGAUACUCUUUAACUGUCACUGUAUACCUAGCGACCCCACAUAUAGAAACACAUUUUAAAAGUGUCAGUAAUUUAGCCAGCAACACUUUUUUUGACCUGUACCGACAUUUAAAAGUGUCGUUAUAGACCGUUUUUGUUGUAGUGUUUUUAGGUUUAUUUGUGUGUGAGAGAGAGAGAAAGAUUUUCAUAACUUAAUUUGAUCCAAGUUCCCUUAACUUCAAAUCGAAUGAAUCGAUCUUAAUUUUCUAAAUCUAACUAUUUGUAGAUUGUCGGAUCAUUGGCGCUAACCAUUAAUUCCAAAAGCUCGAGCUGUUAAAAAUACGCAACAAAUUCACUUAAAACAUACAGAUACAGCGAGAAAGAGAGAGAUUUAGACCUUACAUUUUGACACUGAAUUUUUUUAGUAAAUUAGAAUGAAAUCUGACCCGACCGAAUUUGGCCUAUAAAAAAUCAAAUUGAAUUAAAAUAUAUAUCAUAAUGUUAGGUCUAUGUGUAUAUAUAGAACUAGACUGGGAUACUAUCAAUAGCACGAAGCUAUUGGUACUAUUAGGUUUUUAGCCCUUGGAUUGAAAAAUGUGCUGUUCGAAUGAUGUGGGCCCUCUAGGGUUGAGUGAGUGGUUGGUUGAAUAAUAUAAUCCAACGGAUAAAAAUAAUCAAAGGAUUAAAUUUAAUGGUGGAAAACUCGAUAGCACCAAAUCUUUGGUGCUAUCGGAUAGUAUCCCAACCAAACUCUAUUUAUAUAUAUAUAUAUAUAUAUAUAUAUAUAUUAGAGAGAGAGAUGAGAAGAUGAAGGAGGAGAGAGAAGAGAGACGGAGAGACGAUGAUGAGAGAAGAGGAGAGAGAGAUUAUUAAUAGACUUUGGCUCUAUUUCUUGAUUAUUAAUAGCUUUUGGAUCAAAUACUAUUCUACCUACCAUCACCUACCAUCAUCAUUCCAAUUCUAUAUUUCUUCAUCCAAAAGUUAAAAACUUAAAAGCACCACCUCUUUAGUACUUUUGGAAGUAUUCUACCUCAACUCUCCCUCCUUCUCUCUCUCUCUCUUUAUAUAUAUAUAUAUAUAGAGAGAGAGAGAGAGAGAGAGAGUCCAGCUGCUAUGCUAUCGAUAGCACUAAACACUUGGUGCUACCAAGUUUUCUGCCGUUAAAUUAACCCCUAUAAUUAUUUUUACCCGUUAGAUUAUACUAUUCAAUCAACUACCCACUCAACUCUAGGGAACCCACAUCAUUCUAACUGCAUAUUUCUUAAUCCAAAAACUAAAAAACUAAUAGUAUUAAUAACUUUGUGCUAUUGAUAGUAUUCCAAUCUAAUUAUAUAUAUAUAAAAGAGACAGAGACAUAUGUGGUUGUUGGUACAAAGGACAAAAGAGCAGAGGGAAUGUUUUAUGGCCCAAGGUCCCAACUAAAUAAUAAUAUUAUUAUUAAUAGUGUUAUUAAUUCAACCCCCAACAAGACAAAGAAGCUUCUUCCACAAACACUAUUCUAUGGACAUACAGCAACAUCCCUUCACACCACAAACAAUUAAUGGGCCCCCACAAUAACGAGGUUGCCUUUAUUUUUUUUUUUAAAAAAAAAAACUUUAAAUACUCUAUGUGAUUUAGCACGUCCUUAUUUUAAUAUUUUAUAGUUUAAAAAAUAUUUCUUUAUUAUCCGAUGGUUUUAUUUUUUUUUUUCCACCCACCUCUCCGUUAACUUCUCAUUUAUAACAUAUAAAAAAAAUUCAGAUACUAUCCUAGUAUUUACUGAUUUUUUAUUUUAAUAUUCUAUAAUUUUUAUUUCUUUAUCGGUUUAACAAAAAGAAUAAUAAAAAAAUAUUAUAGAAUACUAAAGUGAUAUAUUUUAAAAUAUAAAAUACUAAAAUCAAUUGUGGGGCCCACAUGUCGGGAUAGUCCCUAUACUAUAUUUAUAUUCAACUUACGUUGCUGUACUACUCAAUGAAACAUUCCCUGCUUUCAUAAAUACCACAAUUUAUUAUUUGAAACUCUUUAUAUUUCUAGGUGGUUUUUAUAAUAAAGUUUUUGAAUUAAUAAUUAAUAUAGUUAAAUAUAAUUUAAAGUAUUUAAAAUUUUUUAAAAUAAAAUUUUACAAGUUUUGAAUAUAAUUGUUUAGCGUAUCGAGAGGUUACAAUCUCAACGGUUCCAAUUAAGAAACCUCAAAAAAUAAAAAAUAAGAUUUUUUUUUAAUUCAAUUGCUGUCUUUUUUUUUUUGGUCUAAAUAAUUAGAAGAAAAUAAAAGUUCAGCUUAUUUAGAUUGUUCUGCGACACUAAAUAGUGUCUUAUUUUGAGAUAUUUUAUUCGUAAUACAGAUCAAUACAAAAUUAUAAAAAUUUAUAUUUUAGAUAUUUCAAAUAGUUUUAAUCAUCUUAAUUAUAUAGAACAUAAUUGGGACAUCCUUAUAGCUAAAAUAAUUAAUAAGUGUGAAUAUGUUAAAAAUAUAGAAUUACAGUAAUAUUAUAAGAAAAAUAAGUUUUUUCUUUUUGUAGUUGGACUAAAAUACAAUAAUAUGAAAGCUCAAAAAUUGCAAUAGUGUGAGGAAAAAAUAUAUAUAUAUAUAUACCAGCUCAAUUGUAGGUCUUUCUGAAUUUUUUAAUUUAACUGAGACCUCUCAAAUUCUAAUUUUUCAAAAUUGAGUAAUUUUAAUCUAUAAAUUUAAAUUUUUUAUUAAAUUUAUUAGUAUUUUUUAUAAAUUUAAUAAAUUUAAUUAAAUUUUAGUAAAUAAAAGUAUGCUAAUUAAUAAUUGAUAACUAAUAGAAUUAUUACAAAUUUUAUAAAACUCCAAUUAAAAAUUGGAAGGCCCUAAUUAAAAAAAGAACGCUUUGUAAUAUNGUUGCUUAUAAAUUAUUGGAUAAUAAAAAUCAAUUUUUAUAUGCUGAUAACAAAUAUUGCCUAUAUUAAAUUUUAUUCUGAAAACAACAUGCGAUGUGUGCGGAUAUGUGAUGGGGUGUUGGGGUAGACAAAGAAUAUGGAUAAGAUGGAAAGGUGGAAAAAGUCCUUGUUAUCCCUUUUUUUGGCCAAUUUGCAUAAAAAAUUCACUUAUUUUGGACUUUUGUAAAAACGGACCACCUUUUUCAUUUUUGCAAAUUCGGUCCGAAUUUUCAGCAAACUGACCAAAAUACCCAUAUUAUUUUUUCUCUUUCCUAUUUCUCUCUCCUCUUCGUUUUUCUCGUUCUUUUUUUUUUUCUCUCGCCGAAAAAAGUAGUGAAGGUAGAGGCGGAGGCAGAAAUGGUCCGUCUCGCCUCUCACCCUCAUGCUCUCGCCCUUGCCCUUGCCCUCGCCCUCGCCCUCGCCCUCACCCACGCAUCCCCCACCUUCCUUGCCUCCGAUCCUGCCCAGGCCGUGCCACGACUUUUUUUUUUUUCUUUUCUUCUCCGACUCUCCUCCACCGUCUCCGACGACGACGUCUCUCUCGCCCUUCCCCGCACUUCUCGUCCCCGGCUCCGAGGCUGCAGCGCCGUAGUGACCUCCACGGUGUCGACGUCGGCGCCAGCGAAGAUGCAUGUCGUCGAAGGCGGCAGAGAAGGAGGGAGAAGGAGAGACGAGAAAUUGCGGGAGUGAAAGAGGAGAGAGAAAAAAAUUAUUUUCUCUCUCCUAAUAACAUAUUAACAUAUAAUUAUUAUUAUCAAACUAUCUUUUCUUUCUUAAUUUUUGAAAAUAAAUUUUUUUUUUCUAAAGAAGGUUAGGUUGAAAUUUCUUUUUUUUUCUAGGUUAGACGCGGCAUUGACUCGAAAAAAACGUGGAGACAAUAUGAUUGUUUGUUGUACCAAACACUGUUCAUAAUGUUCUACGAACACUAGUUUUGUUUUUAAAAAAAUAAUUAUUAGUAUUAAGAAGAUAUUUGGUAUCACCUAAAUACAACUACUUUAUUUUUCAUAACUGUAUAAAAAUUUAAAUUUGACAUUUAUUUUAAUAUAUUUAAAUUCAAUUGUUAUAGUUGUAAUUGUGCGAAGAAGUUCAAUUGCGGCGCGCGACAGAAAUUAUCCGCAAAUUGAUCAUAACUCUAGCUAUAAUAUUUGAAAAGAAUAAUUUUAAAUAAAAAUAAAUUUAUCUUCCUAAUAAAAUUUUAAAUAAUUUUUUUUUUUGUAAAGAAAGAAUACUCUCACUAUUUUACCCUCCCCUCCCCUUCCCUCCCUCUCCCUCUAGUACCUUCUCCUAGCCUCUGCCGCCCCUCCCCCGCCGCAUCGCCAGCGCCCGGACCGCCAACACCGUCCGCCUCGGCUGCUUCACCUGCCUCUCCGGCGCCCGCCGCUCCUCCACUCUCUCCACCUCCUUAACCAACUCCACCGGGACGCGGCCCUCACCGUGGUGGUGAUGGCUAUGUGGCAGGCAACGGCGGAGGCGUCCGCCGCCGCCGCCACCGCCGCCACCGCCACCACCUCUAAAACUCGAUCUCCAGCGGUAUCAAACCAAAAAGGUCAUUCAUGCAUCCUCCAACACCAACAAAACCAAAACUAUAAUACUUCCACGUGAGUAGUUGAAUACGGAGCACAUGAGUCAAGCAAUUAAUGAAAUCCCGGCAAACCAAGGCACAUGAAUAUUUAUGUUAUAUAAAUCUCUACGUAUACUAAUCUAUAUACUAUUAAUAUAUAAAAUAAUACAUUCUACGUAAUUUUUUACAACGUCCAUAUAUAUAUAUAUAAACUCUUCAUAUAAAUUAAUAUUUGAAAGUAAUAAAAUGUAUNGCGGAGUGAUAGUGCUUGUGACAGGGCAUCUUACUGGGAAGGACAAUGUGAAGAGGGACUUCACACAGUCCUUCUUCCUCGCCCCCCAGGAAAAGGGAUUCUUUGUCCUGAAUGAUAUAUUCCGCUAUGUCCCAGAGGCUGGCGAGGGCGAGGGCAAGGGUGAGGACGAGAGCAUGAGGGUGAGAGGUAAGGCGGACCAUUUCCGCCUUCGCCUCUACCUUCACUACUUUUUUCGGCGAGAGAAAAAAAGAAAGAACGAGAGAAACGAAGAGGAGAGAGAAAGAGGAGAGAGAAAAAAUAAUAUGGGUAUUUUGGUCAGUUUGCUGAAAAUUGGGACCGAAUCUGCAAAAAUGAAAAAGGUAGCCCGAUUUUGCAAAAGCCCAAAAUAAGUGGAUUUUUUAUGCAAAUUGGCCCUUUUUUAUGACUUUUAUUUUAUCAGAUGAAAUGUUUAUAAAAUAAGAUCUCAUUUUUUUGAAAAUGUAAAAUACGAUCAAUAUCUUUUAAUCAAACUAUUGCAAUUGGAUUUGUUUACAUUGGUCGGUUCUAAUUCAGCCCGAUCUAAGAAGGCGAGAUAUGUGUGGGAGAAGACGAGAUACAUGGAAGAUCGAAAGUAUCAAGAAAAGAAGAUUCAAAAACACUAAUAAAUAAUUAACUCGAUCUGAUUUUAAUUUCUGAAUACGUUUUUCGCUGCCCUCCGAUUCCAACUCAAACAAUCAUAAAACUAUAAUUCCUAAAAAUUUUACUUUUUAUUUUUUUACUUUUCAUCUACCAAACAUGCCUUAAGUGAAAAUGUUGCCCU
Molecule: long non-coding RNA, 7218 nt
Filed under: Ananas comosus (pineapple)
Lineage: Eukaryota; Viridiplantae; Streptophyta; Magnoliopsida; Poales; Bromeliaceae
Description: long non-coding RNA (ACOM_LNC023772)
Source: RNAcentral